GUUCCGGAGAUACUAUCGCACGGCGAGGCAUGGACGCUUUCAUGGGUGGUUACGCGACAGUUGCCAGGACCGAGGGCGAAACCGGCUGCAAGGCAUUGUGGGACAUUGGAGGACUUGGAAUAUGCGCUAGAAGGCUCAAUCCAAGCCCAUUGGAAGAGGAAGACGUACGCAGCGGAGACAGCUGAUCCGGAGUCGGGGCGGCCUGCCAGGUGCCCAACCUCUCCCAGAGCAUGGCGUCUUGGGCACGCCCCUGCCGGCGGACAGUGCGUCCUCUAGGGCCGGGAGCUGCGGGCCGAGUUCGCGUGGGCCCUGCGCUUUCAUCCCUGCCGGGGACGCCGGGGUUGCGGGAUAAACCGCUCGACACACCCUGCCUCCCUGACUGCGCCUGUGUGACACAUACGUUCACUGGUGGGGCACGCAUCAGAUACGGAUGGCAGUGGUUUUGAAGUGGGAGGCCCUGUAUAAAUGUAAACGGUUAUUACUGUAAAUGCUCUAACAGAGCUGCCUGGGGGGCGCUUCCAGGGAAGCGUGGCAAUCUCAGGCCGGGAGAGGAGAGGCGUCCUGGGCCAGGGCGCUGCAGGAAUACAGGUCUGGCGAUGUGCAAGUACACAGAUUCACCAGGCAACAGCAUUGCGGCAAGGGUGGGAUGGGGAAGCCAGACCUAAGGCCAGAAAAGGAGAUUGCGACCAGAGCAUGCCUGCUGUGACUGUCAGAGUAAGUGGUUUCAACUUUAUUAGAGACUUCUAAGGAAUGACUUGGUCAGCUCUGUGCUUUCUUGCCUUCAAGAGUGUGUGCUGGGCGCUGGCACUGCGCUCAAGCAGAUGAUAAUCAAGACACAUACCUGGUGUGCGAGGAGCUUAUGUAGAUUGAGACUAGAAAUAUAGACAGAUAACUGGUCUUAAAGAGAAAGAUCCUAAGACAAGGUACCGCUUUUCGAAGUGUCAUAGUUUUCACAGUACAAUGGCCUCUUAGCUGGGAUGUGAAGGAUACACAGGAAUUCAUGAAGUCUUCUUUAGUAAAGAAAGCUUAGGCUGGGCACAGUGGCUCAUUCCUGUAAUCCCAGCUCUCUGGGAGGCCAAGGCAGGAGGAUCGCUUGAAGCCAGGAGUUCAAGACCAGCUUGGACAACAUAGCAAGACCCCAUCUCUAUAAAAAAAAUAA
RNAcentral lists this long non-coding RNA (1159 nucleotides) under Homo sapiens (human). RNAcentral's name for it is "non-protein coding lnc-PRR7-4:1". Lineage: Eukaryota; Metazoa; Chordata; Mammalia; Primates; Hominidae. The record is from RNAcentral.